UUAACUUCCAUUGUCAAAAGGGAAACAACCCAGACCACCAGCUAAGGUCCCUAAUCAUAACUAAGUGGGAAAGGAGGUGGAGAUUCAUAAACAACCAGGAGGUUGGCUUAGAAGCAGCCAUACCUUUAAAGAGUGCGUAAUAGCUCACUGGUCGAGAGUCUCUGCGCCGACAAUGUAACGGGGCUAAGUUAUGAACCGAAGCUGUGGAAUUGCGCAAGCAAUUGGUAGGAGAGCGUUCUGUAGGCCGUUGAAGGAGAAGCGUAAGCAACUCUGGAGGUAUCAGAAGUGAGAAUGCAGGAAUAAGUAGCGAGAAGGGAGGCGAGAAUCCUCCCCGCCGGAAGACCAAGGUUUUCAGGGUAAAGCUUGUCUUCCCUGAGUAAGCCGGGACCUAAGCCGAGGCUAUAGUGCGUAGGCGAAUGGAAAACAGAUUAAUAUUUCUGUGCCAGUCAUAUUUUGUGAUGGAGGGACGCAGAAGGGUAUGUACGCGGAAGAACGGUAGUUUCCGUAAAAGCAUGUAGAAUGACUUGAUAGGUAAAUCCGUCAAGUUAGAUUUGAGGUGUGAUAUAUAGUCGUAAGAUGAAUGUACAAAUCCCACGCUGCCGAGAAAAGCUUCUAACGUUAAGGUAUGACUGCCCGUACCCGAAACCGACACAGGUGGUCAGGAUGAGAAAUCUAAGGCGGACAGGCUAACUCUCGUUAAGGAACUCUGCAAAAUUGCCCCGUAACUUCGGGAGAAGGGGUGCCCCUGAGUGUGAGCAUACACGCGAUGUUAAGCGCUUGGGGGUCGCAGUGAAGAGGCUCAAGCAACUGUUUAACAAAAACACAGGUCUAUGCUAAGCUGUAAGGCGAUGUAUAUGGGCUGACACCUGCCCAGUGCCGGAAGGUUAAGAGGAGGAGUGAGAGCUCCGAAUUGAAGCCCCGGUGAACGGCGGCCGUAACUAUAACGGUCCUAAGGUAGCGAAAUUCCUUGUCGGGUAAGUUCCGACCUGCACGAAUGGUGUAAUGAUUUGAGCGCUGUCUUGACGGGAGGCCUGGUGAAAUUGUAUUACCGGUGAAGAUACCGGUUACCUACAGUAGGACGGAAAGACCCCAUGGAGCUUUACUGUAGCUUGGUAUUGGGUUUUGGCAUUGCAUGUAUAGGAUAGUUGGGAAACUAUGAUGGUAUGGCGCUAGCUAUAUCGGAGUUGUCGGUGGAAUACCAACCAUUCAAUGUUGAAAUUCUAAUCUGUGGUUUGGAGCCACGGAGACAGUGCUAGGUGGGCAGUUUGACUGGGGCGGUCGCCUCCGAAAGAGUAACGGAGGCGUUCAAAGGUUCUCUCAGGUUGGAUGGAAAUCAACCGCAGAGUGCAAUGGCAUAAGAGAGCUUGACUGCGAGACUGACGGGUCGAGCAGGUGCGAAAGCAGGACAUAGUGAUCCGGCGAUUCCGAAUGGAAGGAUCGUCGCUCAACGGAUAAAAGCUACCCUGGGGAUAACAGGCUGAUCCUACCCGAGAGUCCAUAUCGACGGUAGGGUUUGGCACCUCGAUGUCGGCUCAUCGCAUCCUGGGGCUGGAGAAGGUCCCAAGGGUUGGGCUGUUCGCCCAUUAAAGCGGUACGUGAGCUGGGUUCAGAACGUCGUGAGACAGUUCGGUCCCUAUCCACUGUAGGCGUUAGAAUAUUGAGAAGAUCUGUCCUUAGUACGAGAGGACCGGGAUGGACAAACCUCUGAUGUACCAGUUGUCACGCCAGUGGCACAGCUGGGUAGUCACGUUUGGAACAGAUAACCGCUGAAAGCAUCUAAGCGGGAAACUGACUUCAAGAUAAGUAUUCUUUAAGACUCCUUCGAGCCUAGGAGGUUGAUAGGUUGGGGGUGUAAGGGCUGUGAGGCCUUUAGCUGACCAAUACUAAUAAGUCGAAGUUUUAACCUU
RNAcentral lists this ribosomal RNA (1907 nucleotides) under human gut metagenome. Its description in RNAcentral is "bacterial LSU rRNA". It matches the Rfam family "Bacterial large subunit ribosomal RNA", at positions 998 to 2925 of the family's 2925-position model. The record is from RNAcentral.